Molecule: long non-coding RNA, 2442 nt
Organism: Camellia sinensis
Lineage: Eukaryota; Viridiplantae; Streptophyta; Magnoliopsida; Ericales; Theaceae
Source: RefSeq, a predicted model, not a curated record
GAACAUUUCCAAAAACUAGUGAGCUUCUCAUCCUUUUGUUAUUCCCCUUUUUCUCCCAAUAGCCAUAGUUCCUGUCUGCCUCUAUACCAUCCCCAUAGGCUGUUCACUUCGUCACUCUUUACCGUCCCGAUCGACACUCUCUACACUCCAUUCACUUCGUCCCCUGUUCUCCCUCUGCCGCCAGUUCGGCUACUUCCAUUUGUUUGAUCUUUUAUUUUGAGAGAGAGAGAGGGAGAGAGAGAGAGAGCAUGGAAGUCAUUUGUUUGAUCUUUUAUUUUCAUCUCCUUCUGCUUUCAAGGAACGAGAUUGAUUUUGCCAAGCUUGGAUGGAGCUUAGAUUAUGUUCCUGAUAUCAUAUAAUGGAUCAUUUUUGUUGUUAUCUCUCAGCUUUUCUGUCUAAAACUCUUGAUAAAGCUUGUAUUGUCGGAUUUGCAGCCUUGGUAACCACUGGGAAUAAGAACUUUGAAGCCAAAUUGGUGGGUAUUGAAUCAACUCACAAUGAAGCAUAAUCACGAUUGGAGUAAUAGUUUACUUGAAGCCAGUUUGGCCAAAUUUUAAUGUAGCAGGUUGAAGCUCAAUUUUCAACUUGUUCUGGUUGAAGGAUUUAAUGACACAAAUAAUUUAUAUUUGUUGUUUCUAAUGUAUUAUUAAUUUAUAUAUAUAUAUUUAUAUAUAUUUGAGUUUUAAAGGCAUUAUUGUCCUAUGUUGAGUGCCAGGACUAAUAAUAAAAAAACAAAGCCUUUUGUUUUACUUUUUUGUUUUCAAACAUAUAGAAUUGGUUGUGCCCAGCAUAUCCAUAAGCUAUAUCUUCAUCUGGUCAUUGUUAAACAAACUCAAGUACUUGCUAAGUCUAGAGAGGAACUACAACUCGUCGAACUCUCACACAUGCAGGUGUGCAAGCAUAGUUAUAUGUUUUGUUUCUAAAUUUUGAAUUGUAGGCAUUUUAAUAAUUAUUAAGAUGUAAUUGGUGUUUUAAGUAUAUGGUUCUACUAUUUCUUUGAUACUGAGCAUAUGGUACCAAUGUUUCUUGGUGUUUUAAGUAUAUGAGAUCAAUACUCCAUUUGAAUUGGAAAUGUUAACUUCAAAUUUCUAUUCAUAUUGAUGAACAUUUCUUGGUGGGAUUUGUUUUGAGUGGGUGAAGUCUGCUAAGUAUGAGGCCUCCUUUCAGUCAGUAACCCUUGAUUGAGGAUAAUUAGUGUAUACACUAAACAACAUUGCCUGUUUUUAAUUUUCUGUAUCAUGAUUGAUACACAUUUCAAGAUUUUUGAAAGCAAAAAUGAAAACAAAAAUGUUACCAAAUGCAACUAUUUCCUCAUCAUCAUAUAUGGAAAUUGCUACAUGAGGAUUAGUUUAAUGGAGAAUAUAACUCUCAACUGAAUGCUAUUUUAUCUAAAAUCUCAUUGAUCACGCCUCUAGAAGUCUUUUGCUGGAAAGUCUAAGUUGAAAACAUGUAACAGUAUGCCAUUUAUGUGGAGAACUAAUUAUAAUUGGAAAAUGCAUUCACUUGACACUUCACAGAGGUCCUUCAUUUUAGUGCUUCCUGUUGAGAGUCCAUUUAAGCCUCAGCAUUACGUUCUGUUUACCAAUUGAAAGAUCAAGUAAUAACUCAAUUAGUUCUUCUGGUGAGCAUAAUGCUUCAAAUCACUUCACUCAUACAUACAAAGGCACCCACAUUCAUGUUUAUGAAUCUAUUUAGUGGUAGAAAUUCUAGAUUUUAUAAAUUACAGAUACGUUAAAACAUUUCCAUGUUUUUUCUUUUCUUUUUUAUGUGGACAGUUUUAAUUCUUGAUGAUUGAUGAAGAUCUUUUAAUUAGAAUGAUUAAAAUUUGUUUUCUUGAAAUAAGAGUGUCAAAAUGUAGGUUUUGAGAAAAGUUUAUAUACGUAAUGGGGGGGAUUGUUUUGUUUUUAGACUAACUUAGAAUUAUUCUUCAAAUUAACAAGAUUUUGUUUGGUUUUUCAUCUUAUUUUUGUAUUGUGUUUAGGAAUGUGCUUUGAUCUCUAUUGUUUAGAAUUGGUAUUUGCAAGGUUUUGGGGUAGGUCCAAAGCUGUCUUUUGCUUUCAAUUCUAUAGCUAGGUCACAAGCACAUGAUGAAGAGGUUAGGGGCCUUAAAGAAGAGGUAGCAUCACUAAAAGGGAUAAUUCAAUCAUAUGCAGGACGCUUUGAGCAGUUCGAACACUUUAUGAGGCAAAUGUAGGGCAAUCAUAGUGGAUAUGACUCUUUUGAUGAGUAGUUAGAGGUGUUGCCAUGCAUGUUUAUGGACCUGAGUUUGCCAGUGCAUUAAUUUUAAGUUGUGCUUAUACGUGGAGUUUUUGAUAUGUUUCGCAUCGGACAAAUAUGACAUGCACUUGGAUAUUAAUGAUUUUUGAUAUCUUUGAUGGUUUUGGUAAAUAUGUUUUUGAUGUAAAUUCGUUGUAAACUAAAUGAAUGGAUGGUUAUUUUAGA